Molecule: ribosomal RNA, 500 nt
Filed under: uncultured bacterium
Lineage: Bacteria
Description: partial 16S ribosomal RNA
Rfam family: Bacterial small subunit ribosomal RNA
Source: RNAcentral
AUUGAACGCUGGCGGCAGGCUUAACACAUGCAAGUCGAGCGGUAACAGGGUGCUUGCACCGCUGACGAGUGGCGAACGGGUGAGUAAUGCGUCGGAACGUGCCGAGUAGUGGGGGAUAACGCAGCGAAAGUUGUGCUAAUACCGCAUACGUACUGAGGUAGAAAGUGGGGGACCUUCGGGCCUCACGCUAUUCGAGCGGCCGACGUCUGAUUAGCUAGUAGGUGAGGUAAAGGCUCACCUAGGCGACGAUCAGUAGCGGGUCUGAGAGGAUGAUCCGCCACACUGGGACUGAGACACGGCCCAGACUCCUACGGGAGGCAGCAGUGGGGAAUUUUGGACAAUGGGCGAAAGCCUGAUCCAGCCAUGCCGCGUGUCUGAAGAAGGCCUUCGGGUUGUAAAGGACUUUUGUCAGGGAGGAAAUCCCUAGUGCUAAUAACACUGGGGGAUGACAGUACCUGAAGAAUAAGCACCGGCUAACUACGUGCCAGCAGCCGCAGUAA